CUCCAUUCCAUGCCAUUCCAUUCCAUGUGUGUACAAUUGGGACGGAGGUGGAGGGAAAAAGGGAGGAAUGUCACGAGUAUAGCUACAGGGUAAAUGGCAAGAUGCCUGGCUAAGGACUGUUUGAUGACUGGAAUGUAAAAUCAGGGGCGGAGUGGAUGCAAUUGUUUAGUUGAGUUUCCUUUUACUCAUCAAGCUGCCAAUCUGGACAAGCCCAAAGCUGAGUUCUAAAACUUGAGCAGAUUAAUUGAGGGGAAGAGGGAGGUUAGAAACAAAGUUUCUGGGAAAAGGGGGAGGAGUUCUAGGAGGAGGAAGGAAGAGGGGAGAGCCCAUUGUCAGAGCAGUGAAUAGGCUAUACCCACUUCCUGGUGGAUUCCUGGACUGGAUGUAAAGCAUGGGCUGAGCCUAGGGAAUACAUGCAGGAGGCUGGAAGUGACAUCCUGGCAGGCACACAGUUGGAACCAGGAUAAAGGGCCUCCCUGGAAAAACCUGAAACAUUUACUGAGGAGGGUUCCCAGAGCACAUGGCCAAGAGCAAUAUUGGAUUUCAUGGUUGGAAAUGGAGCAUCUUUCUUUUGUUUCUCAGUCUCAUCCCAGAGUCUGACAAUACAGAGCCUAAAAUGAACCUACAGAAUCACUCACAUUAUUUUGCCAUAUUCAGCCUUGUUGUAUUCCUGCUAAUACCAUGUGUCUGCUACCUAAAACGACGAGGUAGUCAGAGAAGAGGUGAACUACAUACAGAGGAGAAUGGACAUUCCCAGAUGGCUUCUCCUCAGACCAAUGAAGAGAGUCUGAGGAUGCUUAAUAGAACAUCGCUAGUCACAACCAUACAAGAGGAUGUAGUAGGAAUGCGGAAUGGAGUUGGCACACAACAGGAAAACAGCAGAGAUCAGCACAGAUAAGAGUUAGGUGAUGAAGAAGGGAACAGCACAGAAUCUAUGGACCACAGGAGAACAGCACAGAUAGAAGUCUAACAACAUUGAUCAAAGAUGUGGGAUCUUGUAAAACACAUUUCAAUAUUGGUUGUUUGGUGAAAGAAAUCUCGAAUGAAAUUUAGGACCAAACAAGAAAUAGACAAUGUUGGGAAAUAAAAAAUGGAUAGUUUUGAUAAAUUAAAAAGAGGAAGAAUAGACACAGAGACAUUAUAUGAGGAAGAAGGGCUCAUGGUUCUGAAAACCUACUCACAUCAGGAAUGGUUUAAAUAGCCAACACAACAUUUAUAUCAUUUAUAUCCAUUUAUAUUUAUCAUUUACAUAUAUUCUUUAUACAUAUAUUUAUAUAUAUAAUAUAUAUUUAUAUCUAUUUAUCAUUUUUACAUAUAUAUAUGUGGAAUGGAGAGAUAAAGUGAAGAACUUACAGGAAUGCUUAAAUUAUUUUUCUGUAUUUUAUUUUUUAUUUCUGUGUUUCCCCUAUGAUCUGUAUAAUAUGUGCAGGCUCAUAUUUACUUGAGCCUUGGCCAGCUAUAAGCAUAUUUACUUAACCUGAGCUGAUGACAUUUGUUGGUAUUUGACAUUUAUCGAUAUUUAGUCUAUUAGCUUGACCACUAUCUGCUUAAUUAAGCCUAAAGGCCUCAGUUUCUGUUUCCUAGAAAUCAGGAGAUUUGGGGGAAACAGAAACCUUCCAUUCCAAUCUCUCAAAAUAGCAACAACCAAAUAUAUGUGUGUAUAUAUAUAUAUAUCACUUAUACCCCAAAAUCUAUUAAGAAAUAGACGGGGAGGAAUGAGUGGAAGAGAAAGCAAAAGGUGAGGAAAGAAAACAAGGGAGGGAUCCAUGAGUGGGGUGAGGUUAAGUAAUAGCAAGGCAAGUUAAGGAGCAGAAUUAAAGCAAAGAGUUAUCAGUAAUAGGAAAGAUGUGUGUUGUAUAUGUGUGAAAAGGGGAGCGGGUAUUUAUAUUUUUUAUAUUUAUACGUAAUUGGGGAAGUGAGGCAACAAUUGUUUGAUUGAGAAGUAAUUAAAUGUGUAAGGUAAUAAAGCAUAACUUUUUAUCACUUAUAAAUGAUUGGGGUUAUUUGAUUGAUAUAUUCAGAAUUAUAGGGGAAAUGUGUCAUUGCUACUCUUACUAUUUGAUUUUAUCAAGUUCCUUUUCUUUAAAUUGGUUGUGUAUCAGCAACAAGAUUAUGUGCUGAUCAACUAUGACAGACUUGACUCUUUUCAACAAUGAGGUAAUUUAGGGCAAUUCCAAUAGACAUGUUAGAGAGAGCCAUCACCAUCCAGAGAGAGACUGAAUAUGGAUCACAAUGUAGUAUUUUCACCUUUUUAAUUGUUGUUUGCUUGCUUGUUUUUUCUUUCUCAGUUUUUCCCUUUUGAUCUGAUUUUUUUGUGCACCAUGAUAAAUGUGGAAAUAUGUUUAAAAGAAUUGCAUUGGUUUAAUCUAUGUUGGACUACUUGCUGUCUAAAAGAAGAUGGAGGUGGGGAGGGAGGAAGAAAAAUUGGGAACACAUGGUUUUACAAGAGUAAAUUUUGAAAACUUAUUUUUGCAUGCAUUUUGAAAAAUAAAAAGCUUUUAUUAUUUUUAAUAAUAAAAUAAAUUAGUUGUAUAUUCUGGCUAUUGUGAAAAAGCAAACCUAUUGGUGACAGUUUUGGGGAUAUGGAUUUAAGCAGAUGUGAACUCACAGAAUACCUUGAAAUUGGUAAAUUCACCUUGUCUGGGAGACCAUGCAUCAGUUGGAAAGGAAUGGAGUGUUCCCAGAUACUAUAUUUGAAAAAAGCAAGAUGGAAAAGACUAGAAACUGACAUUUCCCCCAUAUAUUGCCACUAUCUUUUUAGAAAUAUAUGCAUUGCUUGCUGAUGACAUGAUGGUAUACUUAGAGAACCCCAGAGAUUCUGCUAAAAAGUUAUUAGAAAUAAUCCACAAUUUUAGCAAAGUUGCUGGUUAUAAA
Long non-coding RNA from Sarcophilus harrisii (Tasmanian devil), 2874 nucleotides. The record is from Ensembl. Lineage: Eukaryota; Metazoa; Chordata; Mammalia; Dasyuromorphia; Dasyuridae.